CGCGUAGGCGGCUAAUUAAGUCGGGUGUGAAAGCCCCGGGCUCAACCUGGGAAUUGCAUCCGAUACUGAUUGGCUAGAGUAUGAGAGAGGGAGGUAGAAUUCCACGUGUAGCGGUGAAAUGCGUAGAUAUGUGGAGGAAUACCGGUGGCGAAGGCGGCCUCCUGGCUUACUACUGACGCUGAGGUGCGAAAGCGUGGGGAUCAAACA
Molecule: ribosomal RNA, 207 nt
Filed under: uncultured bacterium
Lineage: Bacteria
Description: partial 16S ribosomal RNA
Rfam family: Bacterial small subunit ribosomal RNA
Source: RNAcentral